This 1332-nucleotide ribosomal RNA is filed under the name uncultured bacterium. RNAcentral describes it as "bacterial SSU rRNA". The stretch from base 659 to 1332 matches the Rfam family "Bacterial small subunit ribosomal RNA", at positions 1 to 689 of the family's 1533-position model. The record is from RNAcentral.
GAGUUUGAUCCUGGCUCAGGACGAACGCUGGCGGUAUGCUUAACACAUGCAAGUCGAACGAGAAGGAAGAGCUUGCUCUUCCUGAAAGUGGCGAACGGGUGAGUAACGCGUGGGUAACCUACCCUUUGGAAAGGAAUAGCCUCGGGAAACUGGGAGUAAUGCCUUAUAAGAUACGUUUGUCGCAUGGCAUUUGUAUUAAACGCUCCGGCGCCAUAGGAUGGACCCGCGUCCCAUUAGCUAGUUGGUGAGAUAACAGCUCACCAAGGCCACGAUGGGUAACCGGUCUGAGAGGGCGAACGGUCACACUGGAACUGAGACACGGUCCAGACUCCUACGGGAGGCAGCAGUGGGGAAUAUUGCGCAAUGGGGGCAACCCUGACGCAGCAAUACCGCGUGAGUGAAGAAGGUUUUCGGAUCGUAAAGCUCUGUUAUUGGGGAAGAAAAAAAGACGGUACCCAAGAAGAAAGUUCCGGCUAACUACGUGCCAGCAGCCGCGGUAAUACGUAGGGAACAAGCGUUGUCCGGAUUUACUGGGCGUAAAGGGCACGCAGGCGGUUUUUUAAGUCAGAUGUGAAAGGCCACAGCUCAACUGUGGACAUGCAUUUGAAACUGAAAGACUUGAGUAUUGGAGAGGCAAGUGGAAUUCCUAGUGUAGCGGUGAAAUGCGAGUUUGAUCCUGGCUCAGGACGAACGCUGGCGGUAUGCUUAACACAUGCAAGUCGAACGAGAAGGAAGAGCUUGCUCUUCCUGAAAGUGGCGAACGGGUGAGUAACGCGUGGGUAACCUACCCUUUGGAAAGGAAUAGCCUCGGGAAACUGGGAGUAAUGCCUUAUAAGAUACGUUUGUCGCAUGGCAUUUGUAUUAAACGCUCCGGCGCCAUAGGAUGGACCCGCGUCCCAUUAGCUAGUUGGUGAGAUAACAGCUCACCAAGGCCACGAUGGGUAACCGGUCUGAGAGGGCGAACGGUCACACUGGAACUGAGACACGGUCCAGACUCCUACGGGAGGCAGCAGUGGGGAAUAUUGCGCAAUGGGGGCAACCCUGACGCAGCAAUACCGCGUGAGUGAAGAAGGUUUUCGGAUCGUAAAGCUCUGUUAUUGGGGAAGAAAAAAAGACGGUACCCAAGAAGAAAGUUCCGGCUAACUACGUGCCAGCAGCCGCGGUAAUACGUAGGGAACAAGCGUUGUCCGGAUUUACUGGGCGUAAAGGGCACGCAGGCGGUUUUUUAAGUCAGAUGUGAAAGGCCACAGCUCAACUGUGGACAUGCAUUUGAAACUGAAAGACUUGAGUAUUGGAGAGGCAAGUGGAAUUCCUAGUGUAGCGGUGAAAUGC